This 512-nucleotide ribosomal RNA is filed under the name uncultured bacterium. Its description in RNAcentral is "bacterial SSU rRNA". It matches the Rfam family "Bacterial small subunit ribosomal RNA", at positions 28 to 529 of the family's 1533-position model. The record is from RNAcentral.
GACGAACGCUGGCGGCGUGGAUUAGGCAUGCAAGUCGAACGGUAUCAUCCUUUCGGGGGUGAGAGAGUGGCGAACUGGUGAGUAACACGUAGGUUAUCUACCCUCAAGACGGGGACAACCCAGGGAAACUUGGGCUAAUACCGGAUGUGAGCAACUUUUAGUUGUUUGAAAGGUGGCGUAAGCUGUCGCUUGGGGAUGAGCCUGCGUCCUAUUAGUUAGUUGGUGAGGUAACGGCUCACCUAGGCAAUGAUAGGUAGGCGGCCUUAACGGGUGGUCGCCCACACUGGGAUUGAGAUACGGCCCAGACUCCUACGGGAGGCAGCAGUCGAGAAUAGUCUACAAUGGUCGGAAGACUGAUAGUGCGACGCCGCGUGAACGAUGAAUCCCUUCGGGGUGUAAAGUUCUUUUAUAUGUGAGCAGUGCUUCUUAUAUUAACAGUAUGGGGAGAAGAGAUAUUAGCAUAUGAAUAAGCAACGGCUAAACUCCGUGCCAGGCAGCCGCGGUAAACUGUA